CAUCAAUUGAGGAGAAGGGGGCAACCCCCGAGUAGAGCGCGCACGGGGAGUACGCGUGGUAACCUACCCCCAGGGGGGGAUAACUACCGAAAGGGUGGCUAAUACCGCAUGAGACCACGGGAUCUUCGGAUCCUGAGGCUAAAGAUCGCACCGGCUUGCCGGUGCUGUCACCAGGGGAUGGGCCCGCGUCCGAUUAGCUAGUUGGCGAGGUAAUGGCUCACCAAGGCUACGAUCGGUAGCUGGUCUGAGAGGAUGAUCAGCCACACUGGAACUGAAACACGGUCCAGACUCCUACGGGAGGCAGCAGUGAGGAAUAUUGCGCAAUGGGGGAAACCCUGACGCAGCAACGCCGCGUGGGUGAAGAAGGCCUUCGGGUCGUAAAGCCCUUUCGGACGGGACGAACGCUCCGCGGGACAAGCCGCGGAGCCAGACGGUACCGU
RNAcentral lists this ribosomal RNA (440 nucleotides) under uncultured Pseudomonadota bacterium. RNAcentral describes it as "bacterial SSU rRNA". It matches the Rfam family "Bacterial small subunit ribosomal RNA", at positions 65 to 481 of the family's 1533-position model. Lineage: Bacteria; Pseudomonadati; Pseudomonadota. The record is from RNAcentral.